RNAcentral lists this ribosomal RNA (2225 nucleotides) under Candidatus Woesebacteria bacterium RIFCSPLOWO2_12_FULL_42_8. RNAcentral describes it as "bacterial LSU rRNA". It matches the Rfam family "Bacterial large subunit ribosomal RNA", at positions 1 to 1847 of the family's 2925-position model. Lineage: Bacteria; Candidatus Woeseibacteriota. The record is from RNAcentral.
UUAAUUUACAGUACGCAGACAGUGGAUGCCUUGGCUUUGUCCACCGAAGAAGGACGUGCAUGGCCGCGAAAGUCGUCGGGUAGCUGCCACGAAGCUUUGAUCCGGCGGUGUCCAAAUGGGAAAACCCAACCGAGCUCAUCCUCGGUUACACCGUGAUGAAGUCGCUUCGCAUAUUGCGUAUGAACUCGGAAUUUUCAAUUUUCAAACUCCAAUUUUCAAACAAAUUCAAAUUUUCAAUUUUCUAAAUUUAAAAAAACAUUUAGAAUUUAAGAUUUUGAUAAUUUUGUAUUGUUUGGAAUUUGAGAUUUGGAAUUUUGUUAUUCCGCAAAUUCGUAUGUAAUACGCGGAGCGUAUUAGUUGCGGUUGUGGGAACCCGGGGAACUGAAACAUCUAAGUACCCGGAGGAAAAUAAAUCAAUCGAGAUUGCCUUAGUAGCGGCGAGCGAAACGGCAAUAGUCUAAACCUUAUUCGUGCUUGCAUGAGUGAGGGGUUGCGGGACCUCAAUGUGGGAGUAAACACUAUAGUAAAACGGCAUGGAAUUGCCGGCCAUAGAGAGUGAAAGCCUCGUAUACAAAAUGGUGUUUGCCUCUAGAGGUAUCCCAAGUACCACGGUGCACAUACACUGUGGGAAUCCGGGGGAACCAUCCUCCAAGACUAAAUAUGAGACAAAGACCGAUAGUGAACUAGUACCGUGAGGGAAAGGUGAAAAGAAGGGCGGGACGCCCAGUGAAAUAGAACCUGAAACUGUUUGCGGACAAACCGAGAGAGCUCGUGCGUAGCACGAGAAUUUUCAAUGUUCAAUGAUCAAUAAUCAAUGAAUUUUCAAUGUUUAAAUUUUCAAAAUUUGAAUUUUAAUUAUUGGUAUUUGUUUGAGAAUUGUAAAUUGAGAAUUGGAAUUUCUCACGCUAUGCGUGAGUGAUCUCGUGCCUAUUGAAGAAUGAUCCGGCGAGUUGCCGUGCUUUUUUGUCUAACCCCGCCGAGCGGGGGGAGGCGUAGGGAAACCGAGUCUUAAAAGGGCGAAAAAAAGAAAGUAUGGCAGACCCGAAACCAGGUGAUCUAGCCAUGAGCAGGGUGAACCCCGAUGAAAAUCGGGGGGAGGCCCGAACCGGUUGUUGUUGCAAUAACAUCGGAUGACUUGUGGCUAGCGGUAAUAUGCCAAGCGAACCUGGAGAUAGCUGGUUCUCCCCGAAAGGUCUAUAGGGACCGUGGCCGUUUGAAAUUUAGAAGUGGUAGAGCUACUGGAUGGGUGUGAGAGGGUAACCGAUUACGUUCAACCAAACUCCGAAUAAUUCUAAAUGUAGCGGCUAGACAGUCAUACGGGGCUAAGCUCGUGUGGCGAGAGGGAAACAACCCAGAUUCUCAUCUAAGGCCUCUAAAUUUACCUUUCGGCCGUAAGGCCGUAAGUUUACUUAAGUUUAAAAGGAAGUCGUAUUCCCCAGACAACCAGGAGGUUGGCUUAGAAGCAGCCAUCCUUUAAAGAAAGCGUAACAGCUCACUGGUCGACUGGAAUGUGGCGCCUAAAAUUUAUCGAGGAUUAAAGGUAGUGCCGAAGAUAGAAAAGCAGCGCAAGCUGCUUGGUAGGGGAGCGUACCAAUUACAGUGAAGUCCCGAUGUAAAUCGGGGUGGAGUUUUUGGUAGUGAGAAUGCCGGAAUGAGUAGCGUACAAUGCCUGUGAGAAUCAGGCACACCGAAUUCCCAAGGUUUCCGUCGCGAGGUUCGUCCACGACGGGUUAGUCGGUUCCUAAGACGAGGCCGUUUGGCGUAGUCGAUGGACAAGCAGUCAAAAUUCUGCUACUUAUUUUAAGUCGCAAGAGCGUCCCGAUUUAUCGGGAUGCUAGUUGGGGGUUGACGAAGAUGGAUGAUUGAAGCGAGGACGUGAAGCCUCGUGCAAGUUGUUAAAUAGUCCCGAACAGAAAAACUUUCGGGGUGAUCAAUUGAGCAGUGAUGCAGAUCCUGUCGAAAGAUGGGGGAUUUCAUACAAUUCAACUUACAAGAAAAGACUCGCAACAAGACUUAAAGUGAGCCGUACCGUAAUCCAACACAGGUGGGAUGGUCGAGAAGACUAAGGUGAGCGAGAGAAGGAUCUUUAAGGAACUCGGCAAACAAACUACCCGUAACUUCGGGAGAUGGGUUGCCCCCGAUUUAAUCGGGGGUUGCAACUAAAGAGUGCUAGUCGGCUGUUUAUCAAAAACACAGGUCCGUGCAAACUCGAAAGAGGCGGUAUA